Phasianus colchicus (ring-necked pheasant) is the source of this 524-nucleotide long non-coding RNA. RefSeq lists it as uncharacterized. NCBI's taxonomy places the organism in Eukaryota, Metazoa, Chordata, Aves, Galliformes, Phasianidae. The record is from RefSeq and is a predicted model, not a curated record.
UGAUUCUAUGUGAUGCCUUGUGCUGUAAGGAACAGGAGCUCUAUCCAGCCAAGGCCGAGAGUCCAGCUGCUCUGGCCCUGAGAUUGGAUGCAAUUCACUAAGGAGCUUCUGGAGUCACCAUCUAUUUCUAUACUAGCUCAUUAAAUUGUUACAGAAUUUUUCUGGGCAUGGAAACACGCUCACCUGUGGCUCAGGAUUCAAAAGAAGCCAAAAUCCAUUCCACAUAAAUGGUUUGAGACUUUAGGAAGACCACCUAUCAGUGGUUGGGAUUUUCAGACUUAUCCCUACAUUUUCAAAGGACUUUUGUUACAAUCCCCUGAGACAGUCAUCAUUAUGUAUAUUUCCCAGUCACGACUGCGUGUCUCACUGUGCUUGACGAGGCUCAAGACUUAGUAAAGCAACAGUCCUUACCUUGAAGAGGUUUUACAAAAUGUCAUUGAAGUUAGUGGAGGAUACGCGGAAAAAAUUAGCAGCCCACCACCAUUAUUGGUUUCAUCAUCUAACUCUGUUCUGAAAACUGCUGC